AACUACACUAUCAAUGAAUGGACUCACCCGCGGGAUGACGUGGUGUUUUACAUAGGACGAGGUCAUGGCAUCCUAUUACCAGCCAUCGCACGAAAUUAAUAGGAUAUGCCACGUCAUCAUCCUAGAUGGAACAACCACGUCAUCUCACUGGUGAAUCCAUUCAUCGAUAGUGUAAUU
This is a microRNA precursor of Oryza sativa Japonica Group (Japanese rice), 177 nucleotides long. It matches the Rfam family "MIR807 microRNA precursor family". Lineage: Eukaryota; Viridiplantae; Streptophyta; Magnoliopsida; Poales; Poaceae. The record is from Rfam.